UCCCGCGCUCCCUCUGCUGCGUUCCCGCUCUGCCUGCUUUUUUGUUCUGAGCCACUUGGUUGUCUACUAAUAUGCUCUCUUGCACAAACCGUGAUGUGGUUUUCAGGGACAUCUCUAGCUCAGCAUUGGUUCUGAAGUUGCUUGAUUACCCUAAAUGUCAUGUAAUUUCUAUACUGACACCUCAAUAUACAACUAGAGAAUUGAUGUGUUCGUUUUAUCACUCAUCAAACUUUGGGAAACUUAAAAGCAAUUUGACAUUUGUUUUGCAUGGGAGGAAAUCUGAUAUGAUUACUUAUUGGCUUUAUCACACCAAUGAGUUUUUACUGAGAAAGUGCAGUCUGUGGCAGGGGGACCUUUCAGAGACCUUUGAAACCCUACACUCUCACACACAGAGAUGUGCACGUGCAGGAGCCUUCCCUUAUUUUGCACCCUUUUGGUGGCCUGAGGAGGAGCAGGAGCUGAUGACAAGCUGGUGCAACAGAGUGGCAUGUCUUGCUGGGCAGCCUCAGCUGGAGUUUCAGCGUGCAUGCAGCCUCUAACAGUGGUCCUGGCUAUUCUCGGCUUUAAAUCUCUCAGGGCUUUCAGCAUUUCACAGGAAGCGGGCGUGGGUUCUGUAAUCUCAUCCUGAACACUAAAGUGGAAUUGUAGGCGUUAUUCAACACCAGGAGCAUAAAAAAGUGCAUUUCGUGGUGGUGGAAGGAGAGGGGUCCAGUGGAGAAGAAGGAGAAUGAGGGAAACGCUCCUUUCUGGCGAGGUGCUAGAGCCCACAGCUUCUGCAGGGUGGUGGAGUGAGAAUGAGCGGUCCUUUGCUUGCUGCUGUCUCUGUUCCCACACACUCCCUGUCACUAGCAUAUCCUCCCCGAUCGCUGAGCAGUGGCUCUGGAAGCUGCCAGAGCACUUGGCUGCUACGCCUGGACAUUCACCAAGCGCUAACUAGAAGAGGACAGAUAAACUGCAUAGAGAUGAACCAGCUGCUUAGAGGCAAAAAUCUCCUCUCUCUGCUCAGCCUGCUCGACUUGCCUGCCCCGCUUCCUUCCCAGAUGAACUGGUUCCCGCUCCCAAACCUCUCUCCAUGGGGCUAGUAUGGCGUCCCACCCAACAGGGAGCUGCAUAUUUCAACGAGGUGGCCGGUCUGUCUGACUGCAGCCAGCACAAGGGGGGCCGUAAGCUGCCAGGCUGCACCGGCAGAGGCUCUGCAAACCCCAAGAACAGGUGGGCUCAGCUGGGCUGCGAACUCAGGGUCAGCUUCUCCACAGCAUGGUGGUCCCUCAGUCCAGCAGCUCUUCGCAACAAACAGCGGCGGCUGUGUGCUGGGUGACGUUGACCACCCCAGAGAUCGCUACCUCCACUGCAGCAUGCUCGUGCAUCUGCAUGCGUCCGAAAGCUUAAUGGACUCCUGAGACUUUGGCCUACUGUAUUAGCAUAAGGAUUUUUUGCAUGGAGACAACUAAGCAGUAUUUUAAGCUUAACGCUCUAUAUGUAAAUUACAUGCAU
Molecule: long non-coding RNA, 1494 nt
Organism: Electrophorus electricus (electric eel)
Lineage: Eukaryota; Metazoa; Chordata; Actinopteri; Gymnotiformes; Gymnotidae
Source: RefSeq, a predicted model, not a curated record